RNAcentral lists this long non-coding RNA (576 nucleotides) under Elaeis guineensis (African oil palm). Its description in RNAcentral is "long non-coding RNA (EGUI_LNC022873)". The record is from RNAcentral. Lineage: Eukaryota; Viridiplantae; Streptophyta; Magnoliopsida; Arecales; Arecaceae.
CCUUCUUUUCUUCUUUUCCUUUUCACGUCGUCCCAAGGUCAUCGAUGACCUCUUUUAUUCGCGUAGGGUUGUUAUUUGCCGAGCUCCUUUUUGACUUUUACGCUGUUUGAAAAUACCCAGUUGUUAUUCCAUUAACGGCUGCAGGUUCGCUAGGGGCCAUUUGGGCCCGGGGUCCUUCCUGGGGCUUGAAUUCGGGGAUCCGAGCUCCCGUUGCCCUCGUGCGCUGUUUGCUUUCCGAUCAUCGCUGUUGCGAUCCAUUGCCUUUCUUUUUUGCUUGGAGUUUUUCUCCGCUGAAGUCGAGGCUAGGUUCGGCUCCCGUGGGAGCCCGAACGGAGAAUCCCUCUUGAAGUUGGAGUUGUGGGCGAAGCCCGGCUCUCGUAAGAGUCAGGGUGAAGUCUUCCUGCAAUCAAGGUUAAAGGCGAAGUCCGGAUCCCGUAGGAGUCUGGACAAGGCCUAUCGGCAGUUGCUGUUGUCAGCGGAGCCCGGCUCCCGUAGGAGUCCGGGCGGGGUUGUCCUGUAGCUGAUGUCGGCGAUGGAGCCCGACUUCCGUAGGAGUCCGAGUGAAGUUUUCCUGGG